This 22-nucleotide non-coding RNA is filed under the name Rattus norvegicus (Norway rat). Lineage: Eukaryota; Metazoa; Chordata; Mammalia; Rodentia; Muridae. The record is from RNAcentral.
UACCCAACUUGUAACCAUGCCU